RNAcentral lists this long non-coding RNA (3725 nucleotides) under Gallus gallus (chicken). RNAcentral's name for it is "lncRNA (ENSGALG00010012143.1)". The record is from RNAcentral. Lineage: Eukaryota; Metazoa; Chordata; Aves; Galliformes; Phasianidae.
AGAGACACACUGGGGCUCCCUUCGAGACAAGUCAGCCUUCUGGAGCACUCUGCCAGGCAGAGCAUAACCGAGGAGACUGUCCCAGUUUCUCUCCGCUAUUUUUAAAGAGCAGGUCCCUGAGCCGUGGUUGUGCUUCGUAUGAGAACCCACAAGAGGAGGGAGACUCAAGGUGGGGGCUAAGUGACCAGACUGCUACCACGCAGACAGCAAGCAGCAAAGCUGGGAGCCAGCCAAGACUUCUCCAGCCUGAAGCCUGGGCUUUGUUUGCAGAGUGGCUCCAGCUCCCCACUACACCUCUCACAUGGCCAUGAGUGAGCUAGCACCGCAACCCAGGCACCAUUACGCACCUUCUGAGCAGACAGAUUACCGUUUGUGUAAGAAAUGAAUCAACGCAUGCAAAGUUAAGUGCACAGUGAAAACAAACCAGCUCUCAGAUUGGGCAUGUAAAUCGUUUUUGUUGUGUUCUUGGACACAUUGUGUAUCUCUGCCACUUUGUCACUGAUGCAAUGGAUUUGAACCUGCAGACUUGGAAUCCGAAAACUUUACUGUGCUUCCAGAACUUUUUCAUUAGGACCUCUUGUUGACAGUUUUCUGGGAGACUCAUCUACAAAACAUGAACUAAUACAAAAGUGGGCUGAUGCUUCCCAUAAAAGGAUCUUCUGUUGUAGAAAUGCUUAGGUUUUUGAUGUGAUUUGAUUUUGGCAUGCUACUUGACUUGAAAUUGGAAUACUUUAUAUGAUCAAGGUGCAUUUAUUUUGUCAUAAUUCUCUGAAUUGCAGUAGAAUUAAUAUCCAUCAGAUUAGUAACCACCCAGGAUAGUACUUAUCCACUUUUAAUUUGGAUGGGAGGAUUUUAAAAUGUCUUAAAUAUAUUUUACACUGUUAUUCUCUGGUCUUGGUACUUUUGCCAAGAAUACUGAUCAGAGUGAUUAUCAAAAGACUAAAAAGAUCACUGGUAGGACAGUUCUUGUCUGUUGCACAAUGAUGGUGUGACAUGGAGAGAUGCAAAACUUUAGCACACCAGAAAGAGAGAAGAUACUGGUGAUGGAGAAUGAAUGAAUUCAUUGAAAUAACCCCAAUUUAAUCAGCAGUUGGCAUCUCUCUGAAGCAACCAGCCUUCAGAUUUUGCUUGCAGCUCUGUCCAGGCAACCUACUGAAAAGCUGGUAAACUCAGCAGGCUGUCCUUGGGGAAACAACCUCAUCUGUCUUAUUCCUGGGUCACUAGAAAUCCUAGAGGGACUAAGGAUAACCCUCUAAGAGUAACUCAUGUCUUCUACUUUCUUUGUGUUAACUUUUUCCCCAUUAGCUACUUGAAAACAGCAAUAUGUACCUCCAGAUCUAACCAUAUGCCAUUUUUGGGGGGUAUAAAUCAUUUGCAUGAUUACUGUGGAACAGAAAUACUGUUAUUCCUCAGUUUUGAAUGCUCCAAAGUUGGAAUAAGGUGCUUUGUCAUCAAGUAGGACAGAUGUGUUCCCAGCCGAUGCUUCCAAAUGAUAACGUGGAUAAGAAAAGGAAGCAGGGAGUUUCAUGAGAUGUGGUUUUAAUGGAUGUUUAGAUUGGCUGUAAAUGUGCAAGCACGUGUUUGUUUAGAGUUACUAGGAUAUGAAUCAAAGAAAUAAAAACAGCAGUACAUUAAGGCUUAGAAAACCUCUUGGAAAGAAGCAAAUCAAUAUUUUUAAAUGUAAAUAUUUUGACCCGACCUAUUAUACAUGUUUUUGUGCUACAGUGUGAGAGGUUGGAGUUUGAAGCGGCAACAUUUCUCCUGCUUUCUGCAAGGACAGCAGAUUGUGUUUCAUCCACUAGCACCUUGUCUUACUGACUAAGUAGUGAUGUUACACAGCUUAUAAAUAUCUGUCAAAACCUUGUGCUUUUCGGAAAACACACGUAUCCUCAAACUUCCCAGUUCUAAGCAGCACAUCUGUCCCUGGCUUAUCACAAUAUACUCAGUUAAAGUAAUCAGAACUUUUUUUUUCUCUGUAUUUUCUGUUAUCAGUGAGUGGUACUGUCCUCAGUCAGCCAGUGAACUCCCAGUUUUGGCCCUCUUAGUAAGGCCCUCACGACUGUGCUGAAUUGCAGAAGACAUUGCAAAGACUUUUCUUGAAUCAGUGAGUUUCUAUUUCACUUUCUGUUUCUCUACUCCUUAUAAUACCCAUUGCCUUAUUUAGUUCAAAUUUAAACGAGAGAAGCAUUUUAAAAUGUAAUAAAUGAUUAAUAGACAUGAGGACAUUACAAGCAUAAGUAACAUGUCACAAAUUGUUGAAAGCCAGAGUAACUAAGUCAGCAUAGUCUGUACUUUUUUGAGAUUGUGUACCAUUUAAUUCUGACAGAUUUCCUUAUUGUGGCAUCUUCCUAAAGUAUUAACAAAUAUAAAACUAAUAUUAAAGCUGGUGUAUAUUUACAAAGAUUCAUCAGAUUGUUAGAACUCCUGAUAAUUGGAGCAAUCACCUUUUCUGACAGAUAUAUGCCAAGAGAAAUGAUUGCAACAGCUUUGCUUGUUCGUUUCUCAAUAGUGCUGUUAAGCCGGAGUUAGAGUCCUCACUGAGGUGGCCCCUGGUCAUGGUAUUAGGACAUUAUAGCUGGGGAAAAAGUGAGUGUACCAGUUUUGUGUCUGCUCCUGGUACCCCAUGCAGAACUGACAUCCAAUCCUCCUGUUUUCUUCUUCCUUUGCAAUUUACUACUUCUUAUGGCUACAGCUCGCUCAAAGUAACACAAGCCUUGAAGCACAUCAUUCCGUUUACUUAGCAUUAUUAAUUAUAAGGAGACUGUUAAAUCAGUCUUCCAGUAAGUGCACUGGACUUUACGAAAGCAGAUCAGGUUGGGGGUGACAACUUUCUGAGUUGCACCGGCCAGAACAUGAUGGCCAAUCAUUAAAAUAAUCAUUAUAACCACAAGCAUUACACCUUAGACUUAAAAUUCAGGUCUGUAAAAGAGGCAUUUCUGGAGUGGAGAGGCCGCAGUUGUUGAAAUUUUCUUUUUUCCAGUGAUCUGAAAUGAGUACCAGCGCAUAAUAUGAAGCCUAUCUGCAACCUCUCUUUCUGACCUACUGAUUGUGAGGAAUGUAAAGAGAUUUCUUACAUGGAAGACCACCUAUUCACCUAUUUAAUGUCUUUGAACUCGUUCUGAUUUCUUUUUUUUUUUUUCGUUCAGAAGUCUUUCUCAGGUGCUUAUCAGUGAAAUGAAAAAAUGUCAAAAUUCUGUAUUUAUUGAGAAUCCUAUCAUGGUGUACAAGAUUUUUAAUUUUCAUUGUCCAGGCUUAGUUUGAUUGACUAACAGUAGACUGACCCUAUCUCCUUCUGCUUGUUUUUUACUCUCGGUCCAAGACAACCAAAAAUGCUUACUUAACUUACUUUGGGUGAGCUAAAUAAGGAAGUCUAACAGAAGCAAUAUUUUCAGCUAAGAGGUAAACAGGCUGCACAAUGAAAGUAGUGGUGUUGAAAAUGAGAUCGGAGACGAUGAAGCAGUUGGAGGUUGAGCCACAUCAAAUGAUAAGAUAAAAAAAAUGCAAGAUUUCAAAAAUGGGCUACUGUAGAUCAUUACUGAUGAGCACAGGAAGUCAAAUGUGUCACUUGGCUCCAACCAUUAUCUCAAAUUAUGUGAAUUUUACCACAGCUUUGAAAUCUCCUUCCCAGAUCAUCUCCCUUUCUUUUGCUGCCCAUCAAAGACUUUGCUUGUCUUUGAGGUGACAUACUGUUUUUCUGAUGGAGUUAUAAUCCAAAUAAAAUUACA